Nothobranchius furzeri (turquoise killifish) is the source of this 1343-nucleotide non-coding RNA. Lineage: Eukaryota; Metazoa; Chordata; Actinopteri; Cyprinodontiformes; Nothobranchiidae. The record is from RefSeq and is a predicted model, not a curated record.
UUUCAAAAGUAAAACUUACUUUCUGAAUCAACUUCUUAAAAUGAGUAACAAAGUAUGUUUCCUUUUUCUGUUUGCCUCUAUGUGUUUUUGUUAUCAAUUUCCUUAGUUUUGUUCUCGCUGCUCAGAGCUUUGCUCUCACUACCAGAUUUGCACUUACACUGUCUGGCUUUCUCCUUUGCAAUCCCUGAGUUUUUGGUUGCAAUUCUGACACAACCCUUUCGGGUGGGCGGGACUUCUGAGAAGUCCUCUCCCAUAGGACAGUGGUUUCUCUUGAGUGACAGUUCAGUGACCCGGAAGUGAUGUAGCCUCCAAGACAUUUUUUUUCCACCUGGUCAAUAACAUGAAUUUUGAGCCCCAAACACGUUAUUUCUGCUGUCUGUGGUGUCUACUGAGGAUCUAAAGAACCUGUGGAACAUCAGAGACUUUGCAGCUAUUAGAGCUAACCUGUGUACUGCUUACUUGCUACAGAGGAAGCAGCAGAAAGCUGAGCUAACAGGCUGUUUUGAAGGUAAUCCUCGGGUGUCAGCAGGAGGAGGUGACCACCUGCAUAACGGAGCACCCUGGUUCUGAGCCAGUUGCACCUUUGUGCUGCUCUUUGGGGAGGCGAUGCUCAGCAGACACAUGCCUCCAUGUGGUCAGGUGGUGUUGGUGUGAUCUGGGAGGGCACACUCAUGUCGUCAUCUCCUUGUGCCGUCUCCAGGAUCCUGAUGGAGUUCUCUGUGCCUGUAAAGCAGGGGUAUUUACUUCUGGGCCUGGAGGGCCGGUAUCCAGCACGUUUCAGUUUUAACUCUGUUUCAACACACCUGAUUUCAGUCAGCAGAUAAUUAACAGGCUUCUGCAGAGCUGCGGCACAGGUAAUUCAACCCCUGAUUCAAGUGUGUUGGAGCAGGGAAACAACUAAAACGUGCUGGAUACCAGCCAUCCAGGACUAGAAUUGAAUACCCCUGCUAUAAAGCCUUCCUCCCUCCUCCGGACUUUAAACAUUAGUAUUUUAUUAUGGUUUACCUGAUUUAGUAAAUAAAACUCAAUUUAUAAAUGUCCUGUUUUGGUGCCUGUCCAUAAAAUCCUGCAUUAGACACCAAAAGCUGAAUGGAUGCCUUUCAUUCACUUUGACAUUCAAUGUAUUUUUAAAGAUACACUUGAAAUUAAUAUCAGCUGUUUAACAGAGUGGUGCAAAGUAUUUGCUGAUGUCAUGAUUUUUGCAACAACCUGAACUUCAUGCAGAGAAACUCAGGAGACAAAUGAGCUAAAAACUGUUUAUUAAAAUGUUUGACGGAUGACUGAAGAGGUAACAGCGGGAGAUCAGGAACCAGAAGCUUCUGCGAGGAAGAGCAGAGGUUAGU